RNAcentral lists this ribosomal RNA (460 nucleotides) under uncultured bacterium. RNAcentral describes it as "partial 16S ribosomal RNA". It matches the Rfam family "Bacterial small subunit ribosomal RNA", at positions 338 to 795 of the family's 1533-position model. The record is from RNAcentral.
CCUACGGGAGGCAGCAGUGAGGAAUAUUGGUCAAUGGACGCAAGUCUGAACCAGCCAUGCCGCGUGCAGGAAGACGGCUCUAUGAGUUGUAAACUGCUUUUGUACGAGGGUAAACUCAGAUACGCGUAUCUUUCUGAACGUAUCGUACGAAUAAGGAUCGGCUAACCCCGUGCUAGGAGCCGCGGUAAUACGGAGGAUUCAAGCGUUAACCUGAUUGAUUGGGUUUAAAGGGUGCAUAGGCGGUCGGAUAAGUUAGAGGUGAAAUCCCGAGGCUCAACUUCGGGAUUGCCUCUGAUACUAUUAGGCUAGAGAGUAGUUGCGGUAGGCGGAAUGUAAGGUGUAGCGGUGAAAUGCUUAGAGAUCAGACAGAACACCGAUUGCGAAGGCAGCUUACCAAGCUACGUCUGACGUUGAGGGACGAAAGCGUGGGGAGCAAACAGGAUUAGAUACCCGAGUAGUC